Molecule: ribosomal RNA, 430 nt
Filed under: alpha proteobacterium 'Egg clone D47'
Lineage: Bacteria; Pseudomonadati; Pseudomonadota; Alphaproteobacteria
Description: bacterial SSU rRNA
Rfam family: Bacterial small subunit ribosomal RNA
Source: RNAcentral
UCAGAACGAACGCUGGCGGCAGGCUUAACACAUGCAAGUCGAACGCCCUCUUCGGAGGGAGUGGCAGACGGGUGAGUAACGCGUGGGAACCUACCUUUCGGUACGGAACAACAGUUGGAAACGACUGCUAAUACCGUAUACGUCCUUCGGGAGAAAGAUUUAUCGCCGAUAGAGGGGCCCGCGUUGGAUUAGCUUGUUGGUGAGGUAAUGGCUCACCAAGGCGACGAUCCGUAGCUGGUCUGAGAGGAUGAUCAGCCACACUGGGACUUAGACACGGCCCAGACUCCUACGGGAGGCAGCAGUGGGGAAUAUUGGACAAUGGGCGCAAGCCUGAUCCAGCCAUGCCGCGUGAGUGAUGACGGCCCUAGGGUUGUAAAGCUCUUUCAGUGGUGAAGAUAAUGACGGUAACCACAGAAGAAGCCCCGGCUAA